Molecule: small nucleolar RNA, 75 nt
Organism: Nannospalax galili (Upper Galilee mountains blind mole rat)
Lineage: Eukaryota; Metazoa; Chordata; Mammalia; Rodentia; Spalacidae
Source: RefSeq, a predicted model, not a curated record
UUUUAACGUUUAAAAUUUUUACCACCCCACUGUGGACUCAAUAGUAGGGCGAUGGAGAAGACAGUGCCUGAGAGA